Molecule: unclassified non-coding RNA, 334 nt
Filed under: soil metagenome
Description: partial contains 5.8S ribosomal RNA, internal transcribed spacer 2, and large subunit ribosomal RNA
Rfam family: 5.8S ribosomal RNA (bases 1-120)
Source: RNAcentral
GAUGAAGAACGUAGCGAAAUGCGACAAGUAGUGUGAAUUGCAGAAUUCAGUGAAUCAUCGAAUCUUUGAACGCACAUUGCGCCCUUUGGUAUUCCUUAGGGCAUGCCUGUUCGAGCGUCAUUUAAACCUUCAAGCUCAGCUUGGUGUUGGGUGACUGUCCGCUUCACCGCGGACUCGCCUCAAAAUUAUUGGCGGCCGGUACAUUGGCUCUCGAGCGCAGCAGAAACGCGUAACUCGAGGUCCUCGUGCUGGCUCCCAGAAGCUAUCUUCACAAUUUUGACCUCGGAUCAGGUAGGGAUACCCGCUGAACUUAAGCAUAUCAAUAAGCGGAGGA